UUUAUUUUAUAUAAUUUCAUUUUCUUUUUGCCGUCUCUGUCUCUCUCUUUCUCUCACUGUCCCAGCAAAUUCCUUGCUUCCAUCGGAUUCGCGCGCCAUCUCCUCCCUCGCGCGUGCUGAUCGCUAGGUAGCAGCCGAGCUCGAUCCCCGCCGUCUCGCCUCGGUAGCAGCCGAGCUCGAUCCCCGCCGUCUCGCCUCCCCGCGAUCGCCGCCGGCCGGCCCUAUCGGCGAUUCCCUCAUCCCUUCC
This 247-nucleotide long non-coding RNA is filed under the name Eucalyptus grandis. Its description in RNAcentral is "long non-coding RNA (EGRA_LNC004627)". The record is from RNAcentral. Lineage: Eukaryota; Viridiplantae; Streptophyta; Magnoliopsida; Myrtales; Myrtaceae.